GACACCUGGGGCGCCCGCGCGGGAAGCGCCAGUGCGGGGGAGAGCCCCGGAUACUCGACCCCCAAGCCAGUUUGGGGAGAAAGACGGCGGCGGGGAGGGGAAAGUUGAGCACACAGCUGCGAUUCCCGUGAGUUGCGGCGACUUUGCAUAGGUGACAUCGCGCCGCGGUCCUGCCUUGGGCACGGUGGGACCCGCUUGCUGAGCGCGCUCUAGAGCGCGCGGCACAUCGUCGAAAUUUCUAACUCUGCAGGGAAAGCGCUAUGUACUUCGGCUUUACAAAUGGGGAAACUGAGGCUCAGAAACGCGCCCUACCAAAGCCACCGACCAGUAAGUGGCAACGCCAAAUAAUAAAUAGGACUUUAAGCCCAGGGCUUUCUGCUGCAGAGAGCGUACCCUCACCCCUUCGAUUCUGCCAGGCAUCAGGACCAGGAGGGUCCCGCAGCCGCGGGCAGCCCUGCUGCGGGGAGGAGACCGAGGCCUUGCCCGCCAAGAAAAAGUCAAGAUCCGCGGGCAAAUGGGGCAGAUGUGGAAGCCAGGACGCGCGGCGCGGUGGUUCCAGGACCGAGGACGCGCUGCGGGGAACGCCUGGGAGCUCCGCGCCGCUGCGCUCUUCUCCUGGACUCUAGGGCCGGCCUUUGGGUGCUCAGCGGGGCCCGCAAGCUCAGAGGGUCCCAAGGCGAGCCGCCGUCUCCAGUCCGCCCGGCCUGCCUGUCCUUCCGAAUUCCAAUGGACAUUAGGGAAUUGCCCUCCUCCCUCAUCCUCCAAGACUGGGCGCUUCAGAAUUUUCUCUCCCUCCCCCUCCCUCUCCCUUGUCACUUAAAAACUCACAUUCUGUUCUCCAGGAACCGCUUUUGCAAUUCAGUUUUCCUAUCUGCAAAAUGAUAGGAAUAAAGCCAUUAGGUGAAUGAAUAGAUACUAGUAUCUCCAUUUAACAGAAGAGGAAUCAAAACCUUAUAGGAUUGUUGUGAUAUCACAUUAGAUUAUUUGUAAACAGCUUUCAAAAGGCUGCAAAAGAACAAAAAAGAAUGUUGUUGCCUGCUGAGCCCAGGGGAACACUGUAGGUGAAUCAGGGUAUUUCAGGCCCCUGGGCUGCUUUGAGACAGGUGCUCUUACCAAACACCAUCAAUUGUUGAGUGUGAACCCUGGAAUAGAGUGAAGCUUACACUGAAGCCAGUAUUUCCACAUCCCAUAUGAUCUGGUGCUUAUGUUUUUCAUUUCCUUACCUCCUUGCCAUAUACUUUACUGUUACUUGUUAAGAUUAAUAAAUCCCUUAAGAGUUGAUGUAGGGACUUAAGUUCCUUAAGGGCAGAAGUUUUUAAAAAUGUUUUUAAUACUUUAGUGCUUAUUUAUUUGAAGUAGUGGUUUUAAAAAAUAUACAACUGACACACGCUGAUAUAUAAGGUAUAUAGUAAAGAAUAUAAGGAGUAUAAAAUGAAAAGCCAAA
Long non-coding RNA from Homo sapiens (human), 1444 nucleotides. The record is from Ensembl. NCBI's taxonomy places the organism in Eukaryota, Metazoa, Chordata, Mammalia, Primates, Hominidae.